CUUGCUGGCGUGUAAGAAUUGUGCAGCAAGCUGUGAGCUUGGCCUGUUGCACUGGAGUGGAGAGCGGCAGGCGGGGAGGCUGAAGGAAAGCCCAGCUGCCUGUUGGCAUCAGCGGGAGCAAAGGCAGCACUGGCUCUUUCCUAAUUUUCCCAUUAAGAGCCUUCCAAGAGAGGAAAGCCAAGUGUGGCAGCCCAAAAGGUGUCUUGCUGAUUGUAGCCGGGGUGCAAGAUGAAAUGCAUGGCAAGAUGGAGGAGCACCCAAUUCAGCCAUCUCCAUAGGCUUUGGAUGGCUCAGAAUGCCAUUUGUAUCAAAGUCUAGGAUUUCCCCUUAGUCCAGGUGCUUGGGCAGCUGAAGAGCAAGCAGCUCCUGAAGGAUUGGCUGCUGCCAGUGUGUCUCACUGCUGUCUGUCUGCAGGGCUCAAGGGCAGGGUCGGCACCUCCUCUGGCUCCCUCUCUUGUGGAGGAAGAGGCUGAAGAGGAGCAAGAGCACAUCAAGCCCCCAGCUGCUGUCCCUCCACGGCCCCAAAAGGCUCCCGCAGCUGCCGGCACUGGGUCCGGCAGCCCCGCCCAGCCGGCCGAGACGAGAGAGGAGCAGAGGCUGAUGAGACUGAGGAGCGUUGUGAGCCCGGGUGAGCCAAGGAGCAAAUACACGGCCCUUGAAGAACUUGGACGAGGGGGCUUUGGAGCUGUUUAUAGAGCCCUGGACGCCAGCACAGGCAAACAGGUAAAGGGUCAGCAGCCCUGGCGGAUUGUGCAGCUCCGGAGUGCUUCCCCCGCUGCUGGAAACCGUGGCUGGAGCUUUGGCCGGCCGCUCCGUCUCUGCAGCAGAGGCUGCUCGUCAGAAGCACAG
This 849-nucleotide long non-coding RNA is filed under the name Cyanistes caeruleus (blue tit). RNAcentral's name for it is "lncRNA (ENSCCEG00000017480.1)". The record is from RNAcentral. Lineage: Eukaryota; Metazoa; Chordata; Aves; Passeriformes; Paridae.